Molecule: ribosomal RNA, 259 nt
Filed under: uncultured bacterium
Lineage: Bacteria
Description: partial 16S ribosomal RNA
Rfam family: Bacterial small subunit ribosomal RNA
Source: RNAcentral
GUCCACGCCCUAACGAUGUCAACUGGUUGUUGGGUCUCUUCUGACUCAGUAACGAAGCUAACGCGUGAAGUUGACCGCCUGGGGAGUACGGCCGCAAGGUUGAACUCAAAGGAAUUGACGGGACCCGCACAAGCGGUGGAUGAUGUGGUUUAAUUCGAUGCAACGCGAAACCUUACCCACCUUUGACAUGUACGGAAUUCGCCAGAGAUGGCUUAGUGCUCGAAAGAGAGCCGUAACACAGGUGCUGCAUGGCUGUCGU